This 431-nucleotide RNase P RNA is filed under the name Bradyrhizobium arachidis. RNAcentral describes it as "RNase P RNA component class A". It matches the Rfam family "Bacterial RNase P class A". Rfam says of the family: Ribonuclease P (RNase P) is a ubiquitous endoribonuclease, found in archaea, bacteria and eukarya as well as chloroplasts and mitochondria. Its best characterised activity is the generation of mature 5'-ends of tRNAs by cleaving the 5'-leader elements of precursor-tRNAs. The record is from RNAcentral. Lineage: Bacteria; Pseudomonadati; Pseudomonadota; Alphaproteobacteria; Hyphomicrobiales; Nitrobacteraceae. RNAcentral also lists the same sequence under 1 other name.
UCAGUCGGCCGGACGGCCGCUCCGGCAGGUGCCGAAAGGCCGCCGGGGAGGAAAGUCCGGGCUCCCUUGACAUGCGGUGCCGGAUAACGUCCGGCGGGGGCAACCCCAGGGAAAGUGCCACAGAGAACGAACCGCCCGCCUUCGCCCCUUCGGGGCUUCGGCGAGGUAAGGGUGAAAAGGUGCGGUAAGAGCGCACCGCGGAUCCGGCAACGGAGCCGGCAUGGCAAACCCCACCGGGAGCAAAACCGAAUAGGGACGGCGUAGCGGGCCGUUCGCGAAAGCGAUAACGCCGCGGGGCGAUGUCAGGCCCGCCGUCCGGGUAGGUUGCUCGAGGCCAUGUGCAAACAUGGUCCCAGAGGAAUGGCCGUCACGUAUCGUUUGCGCAAGCAGGCGGUGCCCUACAGAACCCGGCUUACAGGCCGGCUGAUAUC